Molecule: ribosomal RNA, 497 nt
Filed under: uncultured bacterium
Lineage: Bacteria
Description: partial 16S ribosomal RNA
Rfam family: Bacterial small subunit ribosomal RNA
Source: RNAcentral
GAUGAAGGCUGGCGGCGUGCCUAAUACAUGCAAGUCGAGCGAACGGACGAGAAGCUUGCUUCUCUGAUGUUAGCGGCGGACGGGUGAGUAACACGUGGAUAACCUACCUAUAAGACUGGGAUAACUUCGGGAAACCGGAGCUAAUACCGGAUAAUAUUUUGAACCGCAUGGUUCAAAAGUGAAAGACGGUCUUGCUGUCACUUAUAGAUGGAUCCGCGCUGCAUUAGCUAGUUGGUAAGGUAACGGCUUACCAAGGCAACGAUGCAUAGCCGACCUGAGAGGGUGAUCGGCCACACUGGAACUGAGACACGGUCCAGACUCCUACGGGAGGCAGCAGUAGGGAAUCUUCCGCAAUGGGCGAAAGCCUGACGGAGCAACGCCGCGUGAGUGAUGAAGGUCUUCGGAUCGUAAAACUCUGUUAUUAGGGAAGAACAUAUGUGUAAGUAACUGUGCACAUCUUGACGGUACCUAAUCAGAAAGCCACGGCUAACUACGUG